GAUGAAGAACGUAGCGAAAUGCGAUAAGUAGUGUGAAUUGCAGAAUUCAGUGAAUCAUCGAAUCUUUGAACGCACAUUGCGCCCUUUGGUAUUCCUUAGGGCAUGCCUGUUCGAGCGUCAUUUGAACCCUCAAGCUCAGCUUGGUGUUGGGUGUCUGUCCCCGCCUUCGCGGGGACUCGCCUCAAAAUCAUUGGCGGCCGGUACGUUGGCUUCGAGCGCAGCAGAAACGCGAACUCGAGGCCCGGCGGAUCGGCGACCAGAAGUCUCUUCUUCACAGUUUGACCUCGGAUCAGGUAGGGAUACCCGCUGAACUUAAGCAUAUCAAUAAGCGGAGGA
Molecule: unclassified non-coding RNA, 336 nt
Filed under: soil metagenome
Description: partial contains 5.8S ribosomal RNA, internal transcribed spacer 2, and large subunit ribosomal RNA
Rfam family: 5.8S ribosomal RNA (bases 1-120)
Source: RNAcentral